GGAGGUUGGCUUAGAAGCAGCCACCCUUUAAAGAGUGCGUAAUAGCUCACUGGUCUAGUGGUCUUGCGCCGAAAAUGUAACGGGGCUCAAGUCAUACACCGAAGCUACGAAUUUCAUCUACAAACUUAACAAAUUAAGGCUGUAAGCGGCCCUUCUUUCGAGAAGGAAAGUGAUAAAGCUGAAACGUUAAGUUUUAUACGAGAUGGAGUGGUAGGGGAGCGUUCUGUAGGAGAUCAGAAAACAGGGUUGACCGUGAGGACAACUUUCGGCCUACAGAAGUGAGAAUGUCGGCAUGAGUAGCAAAAAACAUGUGAGAAUCAUGUUCACCGUAUGUCUAAGGUUUCCGACGGAAGGUUCGUCCGCGUCGGGUUAGUCGGGCCUAAGCCGAGGCCGAAAGGCGUAGGCGAUGGACAACAGGUUAAUAUUCCUGUACCACCAAUAUGGAGCGAUGGGGAGACGCAGUAGGGUAGGCCAGCCGGGUGAUGGUUGUCCCGGUGCUGAACUUGUAGGGCUAUGAUCCUUGUAGGUAAAUCCGCAAGGGGAGUCUGAGGAGUUGUAUGCGGUGCCCUAAGGGCCGGAAGUGGUUGAGCCCAUGCUGCCGAGAAAAACCUCUAAGUGUUGAAGUAUUGGUGUCCGUACCGUAAACCGACACAGGUAGACGGGUAGAGUAUACCAAGGCGAUCGGGAGAACCCUCGUUAAGGAACUAGGCAAAAUCGAUCCGUAACUUCGGGAGAAGGAUCGCCCUGGUUGGUGAAAAGCUUUGCGCUUGGAGCUGAUCGGGGCCGCAGUGAAAUGGCCCUGCCGACUGUUUAACAAAAACACAGGUCUCUGCAAACUCGCAAGAGGAAGUAUAGGGGCUGACGCCUGCCCAGUGCCGGAAGGUUAAGAGGAAGGGUGCAAGCUCUGAAUUGAAGCCCCGGUGAACGGCGGCCGUAACUAUAACGGUCCUAAGGUAGCGAAAUUCCUUGUCGGGUAAGUUCCGACCCGCACGAAAGGCGUAACGAGUGGGGCACUGUCUCAACGAGGGACCCGGUGAAAUUGAACUAUGCGUAAAGAUGCGUAUUACCCGCAGAAGGACAAAAAGACCCCGUGGAGCUUUACUGCAGCUUGAUAUUGAGUUAGGGCUUGGUUUGUGUAGGAUAGCUGGGAGGCUGAGAAGCUGGCACGCUAGUGUCGGUGGAGUCGCCCUUGAAAUACCAGCCUGAUUAAGUUUUGGCCCUAACGGCUGGCCGUGAUCCGGCAGCCGGACAGUGUCAGGUGGGCAGUUUGACUGGGGCGGUCGCCUCCGAAAGUGUAACGGAGGCGCCCAAAGGUUCCCUCAGGCUGAAUGGAAACCAGCCAAAGAGUGUAAAGGCAUAAGGGAGCUUGACUGCAAGACCUACAAGUCGAGCAGAGACGAAAGUCGGGCUUAGUGAUCCCACGGUUCCGAGUGGAAGGGCCGUGGCUUACCGGAUAAAAGCUACUC
This 1466-nucleotide ribosomal RNA is filed under the name Globobulimina sp. RNAcentral describes it as "bacterial LSU rRNA". It matches the Rfam family "Bacterial large subunit ribosomal RNA", at positions 1096 to 2468 of the family's 2925-position model. Lineage: Eukaryota; Foraminifera; Rotaliida; Buliminidae. The record is from RNAcentral.